Molecule: non-coding RNA, 208 nt
Organism: Pelobates cultripes (western spadefoot toad)
Lineage: Eukaryota; Metazoa; Chordata; Amphibia; Anura; Pelobatidae
Source: the annotation of a GenBank genome assembly
GAGGGGACAAGUAGACUGAAAUGAAAUGGGGCGAGGGGACAAGUAGACUGAAAUGAAAUGGGGAGAGGGGACAAGUAGACUGAAAUGAAAUGGGGCGAGGGGACAAGUAGACUGAAAUGAAAUGGGGAGAAGGGACAAGUAGACUGAAAUGAAAUGGGGAGAAGGGACAAGUAGACUGAAAUGAAAUGGGGAGAGGGGAGAAGUGUAG